Molecule: long non-coding RNA, 452 nt
Organism: Mytilus californianus (California mussel)
Lineage: Eukaryota; Metazoa; Mollusca; Bivalvia; Mytilida; Mytilidae
Exons: 2
Source: RefSeq, a predicted model, not a curated record
ACCAGGGUUAUUACGGCGGGUACGGGUCAGACUUUGAAUUUGGCGGAUAUGACAAUGGAAAUAUCGGAUAUGGAAACGGAUACGAUUUUGGAGAAAGCUGGGGAAAUGGAUAUGGUGAAGGACAUGGUUUGAUCAGCAUUGGAAAAGGAUACGGUAUUGGCGGAGGAUAUGGAAAUGGAUACGGUGAAGGACAUGGUUUGAUCAGUAUUGGUAAAGGAUAUGGUAUUGGCGGAGGAUAUGGAAAUGGAUACGGUGAAGGACAUGGUUUGAUCAGUGUUGGAAAGGGAUACGGUAUUGGCGGAGGGUAUGGAAAAGGACAUGGUGUUGUCAGUGUUGGAAAAGGAAAAUAUGGUCAGUAUUGAGAACAGUAAAAAAAAUAGUAACAGAAACAGUCCCAAAGUGCUACACAAUUCUCAAGAACCAUAUGAAAAUAAAACUUGGAAUUAAAAAUA